This 443-nucleotide ribosomal RNA is filed under the name uncultured bacterium. RNAcentral describes it as "partial 16S ribosomal RNA". It matches the Rfam family "Bacterial small subunit ribosomal RNA", at positions 28 to 507 of the family's 1533-position model. The record is from RNAcentral.
GAUGAACGCUGGCGGCAUGCCUAACGCAUGCAAGUCGAUCGGUAAGGCUCUUCGGAGUACACGAGAGGCGGACGGCUGAGUAACGCGUAGGAACACACCCUGCAGUGAGGGAUAAGACACCGAAAGGUGUUCUAAUACCGCAUACGGUCUUCGGAUUAAAGCAUUUAUGCGCUGAAGGAGUGGCCUGCGUCAUAUUAGAUAGUUGGUGAGGUAAUGGCUCACCAAGUCGAUGAUGUGUAGCUGGUCUGAGAGGAUGAUCAGCCAGACUGGAACUGCGACACGGUCCAGACUCCUACGGGAGGCAGCAGUGAGGAAUAUUUCACAAUGAGCGAAAGCUUGAUGGAGCAAUGCCGCGUGCAGGAUGAAGGCCCUCGGGUUGUAAACUGCUUUUAUAAGAGAAGAUUAUGACGGUAACUUAUGAAUAAGGGACGGCUAACUACGUG